AAAAAGGCCCUUUUCAGGGCCACCAUAUCCGACAUAAUAUAAUAU
Molecule: non-coding RNA, 45 nt
Organism: Acyrthosiphon pisum (pea aphid)
Lineage: Eukaryota; Metazoa; Arthropoda; Insecta; Hemiptera; Aphididae
Source: Rfam